UUAGAUAAUAAGAAGAAACAUCUGAGAAGAAGUUGAUACCACAAACAGCAGAUGUAAAUGAAUGUCUCCAGUAUGAAGAGAGAGAGAGGCUGCUCAUCCUCAGUCGGCAUAAGAAGAGCGUUCCAGAGGCUGUUGGGUUUAAUGACUGUGACGUUCACGUGGCACGGCGCGUCCUGCCGAAGGAGAAAGAAGAAUGUUUGAUGACCUGUUACGUUUUUAUUUCUUCCAUAAAUUACUCCAUUAGGAUCUCUAUAAAGCGCUACAGAAGGCGGCGAGCGGAGAGAUGAGAGAACAGCUGUUUGUCUAGAUUGAGCUUGUCUGUCGAUGUCAUGAGGGAUGGAGAACUGGCACGUUAGAUUUGCUCUGCGUCUGCUUGUAGGACUUUAUUUCCUCUGGAGAACAGAACACAGAAGAAGAUAUUUUGAAGAACGUUGGUAACCAAACAACACCGGACCUCAUUGACUUCCAUUGUAUGGACAUAAAACCACAAAGAUGUUUCUUAAAAUUGUGAUCCACAGUAGAAAGACUCAUUAAGAUGUAUUGAAUGACAUGAGGGUGUGUAAACGAUGACAGAUUUUUGGGGUGAACUGUCCCUUUAAGGCCGGUUCUUAUACAAUACAGUAGUUGUAGUGGCCUUGACUGUUCUCAUACAUUUACGAUUUAAACUCCACAACUUUUUAAAAUAUAACCCUUCCAGCAUUAUCAUGAUAGUUUUAAUUCUUAAAAAAGUCAUUUUUUUCCUCUUCAAAAAUAAUAACCGCACACAUG
This is a long non-coding RNA of Triplophysa rosa, 768 nucleotides long. RefSeq lists it as uncharacterized. The record is from RefSeq and is a predicted model, not a curated record. NCBI's taxonomy places the organism in Eukaryota, Metazoa, Chordata, Actinopteri, Cypriniformes, Nemacheilidae. The transcript has 3 exons.